ACACAAUCUUAAAAUCUUUCCAUCUUAGAAGAGUCUUUCCAAGUAUUCUUUUGUGUUUUUUUAACCUAUAAAAGAUAAUGGAAUAUAUUUUAUAGACUGGAUUUUAUCUUAUCCCUUUCCCUCUCCCGACUGCACUCAGUUUAAUAGUUGUCAGUUUUUUCUCAGUGUUUUUUCCUUAAGCAUUGGAUUUAAUUAUAUGGGACCAAAAUAUUCCUUAGUAAAUUAGCUUGCUAAAUAUUCUGUCAUUUUGCGAUUAUGCCUUUGAGAAACAGCUUAAUUACAGAAAUCUAUCC
Molecule: unclassified non-coding RNA, 293 nt
Organism: Ursus americanus (American black bear)
Lineage: Eukaryota; Metazoa; Chordata; Mammalia; Carnivora; Ursidae
Source: Ensembl